Long non-coding RNA from Callithrix jacchus (white-tufted-ear marmoset), 841 nucleotides. RefSeq lists it as uncharacterized. The record is from RefSeq and is a predicted model, not a curated record. Lineage: Eukaryota; Metazoa; Chordata; Mammalia; Primates; Cebidae.
UGGAGUUUGCUGGAGGUCCACUCUAGACCCUGUUUGCCUGAGUGUCACCAGCAGAGGCUGCUGAAGAGCAAAGAUUAUUGCCUGUUCCUUCAUCUGGAAGCUUUGUUCCAGAGGGGCACCCACCAGAUGCCAGCCAGAGCUCUCCUGUAUAAGCUCUCACAUGCUGCCUUGUGAAGAAGCUGAUUGCAUCCCGGGCAGCCAUGAUUGUAAGUUUCCUGAGGCCUCCCCAGCCAUGUGGAACUGUCCAUCACAGGUUGCCUGGGAACUCUGCACCAUGCCUCCUUACUCAUGGAACCAAGCUGAUGGAGUAUCUACCAUCUUGAAUGUUGCUGGUAGUCACAGAGGAAAGAGGUAUAAAAAGCUCAUUCUCACACUGCUAAUAAAGACAUACCCAAGACUGGGUAAUUUAUAAAGAAAAGAGGUUUAAUUGACUCACAGUUCUACAUGCCUGGGAAGGCCUCGAGAACCUUACAAUCAUGGUGGAAGGGGAAGCAAACACAUCCCUCUUCUUGUGAUGGCAGGAAGGAGAAGUGCUCAGCAAAUGGGGCUUACUCCCAUAACACGUGGUGAUUAUGGAAACUAGAAUUCAGGAUGAGAUUUGGGUAGGGGCACAGCCAAACCAUAUCAAAAAGGUGUUCACAAAUGUGCCAGGUUCUUUAAUUUUCCUUCUAAAAGUGUGACAUGUUACUUCCAUCUACAUUUUAUUGCCCAAGGAAGUCACAACUAACCUAAAGGGAUCAGGAAAGUGUAAUUAUAUCAUGUGUCUGAAAGUGGGGAGAGCCAGAAAUAUUUGGCGAGAAGCACCAACAUCAACUACUAGGAGUUUGGAUAAGAACGAAUA